GAGAGUUUGAUCCUGGCUCUCAGGAUGAACGCUGGCGGCGUGCCUAAUACAUGCAAGUCGAGCGAAUGGAUUAAGAGCUUGCUCUUAUGAAGUUAGCGGCGGACGGGUGAGUAACACGUGGGUAACCUGCCCAUAAGACUGGGAUAACUCCGGGAAACCGGGGCUAAUACCGGAUAACAUUUUGAACCGCAUGGUUCGAAAUUGAAAGGUGGCUUCGGCUGUCACUUAUGGAUGGACCCGCGUCGCAUUAGCUAGUUGGUGAGGUAACGGCUCACCAAGGCAACGAUGCGUAGCCGACCUG
Molecule: ribosomal RNA, 301 nt
Filed under: Bacillus anthracis (anthrax bacterium)
Lineage: Bacteria; Bacillati; Bacillota; Bacilli; Caryophanales; Bacillaceae
Description: bacterial SSU rRNA
Rfam family: Bacterial small subunit ribosomal RNA
Source: RNAcentral